GAGUGGUACCGAUUUUAUUGGGCCUAAAGCGUCCGUAGCCGGAUUGGCAAGUCCCUUGUGAAAUCGGGCGGCUUAACCGCUCGGCUUGCAAGGGAAACUGUCAGUCUUGGGACUGGUAGGCGCCUAGGGUACUCCAGGGGUAGCGGUGAAAUGCUAUAAUCCCUGGGGGACCGCCAGUGGCGAAAGCGCUCGGCGAUGCCGGAUCCGACGGUGAGGGACGAAAGCCAGGGGAGCAAACCGGAUUAGAUACCCGGGUAGUCCUGGCCGCAAAGGAUGUGGGCUAGGUGCUUGGCGUUCCUCGAGAACGUCAGGUGCCGAAGGGAAGCCGUUAAGCCCACCGCCUGGGAAGUACGGCCGCAAGGCUGAAACUUAAAGAAAUUGGCGGGGGAGCACCACAAGGGGUGGAGCCUGCGGUUUAAUUGGAUUCAACGCCGGACAUCUCACCGGGGGCGACGGCAGAGUGAAGGCCAAGCUGACGACUUUGCCGGACUCGCCGAGGGGUGGUGCAUGGCCGCCGUCAGCUCGUGUUGUGAAAUGUCCUGUCAAGUCAGGCAACGAGCGAGACCCUCACUCUUAGUUGCCAUCGGAUCUUUUGGAUGCCGGGCACUCUAAGAGGACCGCUGGCGAUAAGCCAGAGGAAGGAGAGGGCGACGGUAGGUCCGUAUGCCCCGAAUCCCCCGGGCAACACGCGGGCUACAAUGCGCAGGACAGAGGGUUGCAACCCCGAAAGGGGAAGCCGAUCCCUAAACCUGCGCUUAGUUCGGAUCGAGGGCUGUAACCCGCCCUCGUGAAGCCGGAAUCCCUAGUAACUGCGUGUCAUUAUCGCGCGGUG
RNAcentral lists this ribosomal RNA (832 nucleotides) under uncultured candidate division MSBL1 archaeon. RNAcentral's name for it is "bacterial SSU rRNA". It matches the Rfam family "Archaeal small subunit ribosomal RNA", at positions 486 to 1320 of the family's 1478-position model. Lineage: Archaea; Methanobacteriati; Methanobacteriota. The record is from RNAcentral.